GACGAACGCUGGCGGCGUGCUUAACACAUGCAAGUCGAACGGAAAGGCCCUGCUUUUGUGGGGUGCUCGAGUGGCGAACGGGUGAGUAACACGUGAGUAACCUGCCCUUGACUUUGGGAUAACUUCAGGAAACUGGGGCUAAUACCGGAUAGGAGCUCCUGCUGCAUGGUGGGGGUUGGAAAGUUUCGGCGGUUGGGGAUGGACUCGAGGCUUAUCAGCUAGUUGGUGGGGUAGGGGCUUACCAAGGCUUUGACGGGUAGCCCGCCUUGGAGGGUGACCGGCCACAUUGGGACUGAGGUAGGGACCAGACUCCUACGGGAGGCAGCAGUGGGGAAUAUUGCACAAUGGGCGGAAGCCUGAUGCAGCAACGCCGCGUGCGGGAUGACGUCCUUCGAGUUGUAAACCGCUUUCGACUGUGACGAAGCGUGAGUGACGGUAAUGGGUAAAGAAGCAACGGCUAACUACGUG
Molecule: ribosomal RNA, 468 nt
Filed under: uncultured bacterium
Lineage: Bacteria
Description: partial 16S ribosomal RNA
Rfam family: Bacterial small subunit ribosomal RNA
Source: RNAcentral